UGGAUCCCCUAGAGCCCUCCCUAGGACACGGUAAGUUUGAAUUAGCUAGCUAGAAAGAGGCGACCCUGCAUUAAUUUAAGCUCUUCGUUGCUUGACGCCACCCAAAUUUGGCUCAAUUGGACUGCAGGUGAAGAUCACUCUCAAGUCCCCCUCAGUGGAAAUCCUAAACACACCCAAGCCUACAAUUAUCGGAGCACAUACUGGUAGCCACCC
This 213-nucleotide long non-coding RNA is filed under the name Elaeis guineensis (African oil palm). RNAcentral's name for it is "long non-coding RNA (EGUI_LNC072977)". The record is from RNAcentral. Lineage: Eukaryota; Viridiplantae; Streptophyta; Magnoliopsida; Arecales; Arecaceae.